RNAcentral lists this small RNA (128 nucleotides) under unclassified sequences. RNAcentral's name for it is "LOOT RNA". It matches the Rfam family "LOOT RNA". Rfam says of the family: Latescibacteria, OD1/Parcubacteria, OP11, TM7. The record is from Rfam by way of RNAcentral.
GACCUAACCCCCGAUUUUCGGGAUAUGGUCUAAAAACUCAUCCUACAUAGAGACGGUUUUCCGACCAGUACUUGUAGGAUGAGUCUACUCUCGAAAGGGGGUAGUGAUAUCUCCGAAAGGAUUUAUCA